AACGUACGCUGGCGGCACGCCUAACACAUGCAAGUCGAACGAAGUAGCAAUACUUAGUGGCAGACGGGUGAGUAACAUGUGGGUAUCUGCCCUUUGGCCUGGAAUAACACGAGGAAACUUGUGCUAAUACCGGAUAAGUCUUUACGGAGAAAGCUUUAUGCACCAUUGGAUGAGCCCGCACUUGAUUAGUUUGUUGGUGGGGUAAUGGCCUACCAAGACUGUGAUCAAUAGCUGAUUUGAGAGGAUGAUCAGCCACAUUGGGACUGAGACACGGCCCAAACUCCUACGGGAGGCAGCAGUGGGGAAUCUUGCACAAUGGAGGAAACUCUGAUGCAGCGAUGCCGCGUGAGUGAAGAAGGCCCUUGGGUUGUAAAGCCCUUUCGUCGGGGAAGAAAAUGACUGUACCCGAAUAAGAAGGUCCGGCUAACUUCGUGCCAGCAGCCGCGGUAAUACGAAGGGACCUAGCGUAGUUCGGAAUUACUGGGCUUAAAGAGUUCGUAGGUGGUUGAAAAAGUUAGUGGUGAAAUCCCAGAGCUUAACUCUGGAACUGCCAUUAAAACUUUUCAGCUAGAGUAUGAUAGAGGAAAGCAGAAUUUCUAGUGUAGAGGUGAAAUUCGUAGAUAUUAGAAAGAAUACCAAUUGCGAAGGCAGCUUUCUGGAUCAUUACUGACACUGAGGAACGAAAGCAUGGGUAGCGAAGAGGAUUAGAUACCCUCGUAGUCCAUGCCGUAAACGAUGUGUGUUAGACGUUGGAAAUUUAUUUUCAGUGUCGCAGCGAAAGCGAUAAACACACCGCCUGGGGAGUGCGACCGCAAGGUUAAAACUCAAAUGAAUUGACGGGGGCCCGCACAAGUAGUGGAGCAUGUGGUUUAAUUCGAAGAUACGCGCAGAACCUUACCAACACUUGACAUGUUCGUCGCGACUCUAAGAGAUUAGAGUUUUCGGUUCGGCCGGACGAAACACAGGUGCUGCAUGGCUGUCGUCAGCUCGUGUCGUGAGAUGUUGGGUUAAGUCCCGCAACGAGCGCAACCCUCACUUUUAGUUGCCAUCAUUAAGUUGGGCACUCUGAAAGAACUGCCAGUGAUAAGCUGGAGGAAGGUGGGGAUGACGUCAAGUCCUCAUGGCCCUUACGUGUUGGGCUACACACGUGCUACAAUGGUAUCUACAACAGGAAGCAAGACUGCGAGGUCAAGCAAAUCCUUAAAAGAUACCUCAGUUCGGAUUGCACUCUGCAACUCGAGUGCAUGAAGCUGGAAUUACUAGUAAUCGUGGAUCAGCGUGCCACGGUGAAUGCGUUCCCGGGUCU
RNAcentral lists this ribosomal RNA (1306 nucleotides) under uncultured bacterium. Its description in RNAcentral is "bacterial SSU rRNA". It matches the Rfam family "Bacterial small subunit ribosomal RNA", at positions 28 to 1381 of the family's 1533-position model. The record is from RNAcentral.